UACGGAGGGGGCGAGCGUUGUCCGAAGUUACUGGGCGUAAAGCGCGCGUAGGCGGGUUGGCAAGUCCGCUGUGAAAGCCCGGUGCUUAACGCCGGAGGGUCGGUGGAUACUGCCAGUCUUGAAGGUGCUAGGGGAAGAUGGAAUUACCGGUGUAGCGGUGAAAUGCGCGAUAUCGAGUGAGAACCACGUGGCGAAGGCGGU
RNAcentral lists this ribosomal RNA (201 nucleotides) under uncultured bacterium. Its description in RNAcentral is "partial 16S ribosomal RNA". It matches the Rfam family "Bacterial small subunit ribosomal RNA", at positions 524 to 725 of the family's 1533-position model. The record is from RNAcentral.